Molecule: ribosomal RNA, 600 nt
Filed under: Russula sp.
Lineage: Eukaryota; Fungi; Basidiomycota; Agaricomycetes; Russulales; Russulaceae
Description: eukaryotic LSU rRNA
Rfam family: 5.8S ribosomal RNA (bases 145-298)
Source: RNAcentral
CGCCCCCAUGGGCACUCUCACAUUAUCCAUCUCACCCCUUUGUGCAUCACCGCGUGGGUCCUCCUUUGCAGGAGGGCUCGCGUUUUCACACAAAACUCGAUACAGUGUAGAAUGUUAUCUUUUGCGGUCACACGCAAUCAAUACAACUUUCAACAACGGAUCUCUUGGCUCUCGCAUCGAUGAAGAACGCAGCGAAAUGCGAUACGUAAUGUGAAUUGCAGAAUUCAGUGAAUCAUCGAAUCUUUGAACGCACCUUGCGCCCCUUGGCAUUCCGAGGGGCACACCCGUUUGAGUGUCGUGAAAUCAUCAAAUGCCUUUUUCUGUUUACCGAAAAGGGUUUUUGGACUUGGAGGUUCAAUGCUCGCCUUUCACUUUUGAAAAGCGAGCUCCUCUCAAAUGAAUUAGUGGGGUUCUCUUUGGCUGACCCUCACCGUAAUAAAAUGUUCUUCCGUUUGGAAUUGGCACCUGUUCCCGUUUCUAACUGUCCCCACGGACAACGAUGGUGCUCUGGUCGCCACCGUCUACAUUGGCGGAGGAGGGCUGGACCCACAAAAGAAAACCUUGACCUCAAAUCGGGUGAGACUACCCGCUGAACUUAAG